GGGGAUGAAAGGAUUUCGACGGGGAUCUUGAACCGUGAUAAGCGAGCAGCGGUGCGGGACCGCUAUAAAAUCCGCAUCUCAAAAAUAAACGAGAAUAAUACAGUUUUAGCUGCUGCUUAAUUAAGCAGCCGUCUUUUCCGAAAGUACCGCGGUUCGGACAAGGGCGUGGAUUAGCGGUGAACGUGAACGGAUAAGCGCCUCAUAGUCCGUCAUGAAUAAUGGGGCUGCCCAAAGCUGAAGCCUGCCGUUUGGCGUCGGUCGAGGGGAGAACUAAAAAAGCGGAUACGCUCGUAGAAGGUUGCGGGAAUGGGUUUUCGGACGCGGUUUCGAUUACCGCCAUCUCCACCA
RNAcentral lists this transfer-messenger RNA (348 nucleotides) under Clostridiales bacterium. It matches the Rfam family "transfer-messenger RNA". Rfam says of the family: Bacterial tmRNA, also known as 10Sa RNA or SsrA, is named for its dual tRNA and mRNA-like properties. Its role is to liberate the mRNA from a stalled ribosome. The record is from RNAcentral. Lineage: Bacteria; Bacillati; Bacillota; Clostridia; Eubacteriales. RNAcentral also lists the same sequence under 1 other name.